GACGAACGUUGGCGGCGUGCUUAAUACAUGCAAGUCAACUGAAGCAGUGGUAGCAAUAUCGCUGUGGAGGUGGCGCACGGGUGAGUAACACGUAGGUAAUCUGCCUUCAGGUCUGGCAUAACUCCGGGAAACCGGGGCUAAUAGCAGAUGAUGCAGCGGCUCGACAUCGAGACAGUUGUUAAAGCUAUGGCGCCUGAAGAUGAGCCUGCGUCUGAUUAGCUAGUUGGCGGGGUAACGGCCCACCAAGGCAACGAUCAGUAGCUGGUCUGAGAGGAGGAUCAGCCACACUGGAACUGAGACACGGUCCAGACUCCUACGGGAGGCAGCAGUAAGGAAUAUUGCUCAAUGGGAGAAAUCCUGAAGCAGCAACGCCGCGUGAGGGACGAAGGGCUUUUGCUUGUAAACCUCUGUAGUGAGAGAAAAAAAUCCCAAUCUUUGGGACAUGAUGGUAUCUCAAAAGUAAGCCCCGGCUAACUACGUG
Molecule: ribosomal RNA, 481 nt
Filed under: uncultured bacterium
Lineage: Bacteria
Description: partial 16S ribosomal RNA
Rfam family: Bacterial small subunit ribosomal RNA
Source: RNAcentral